UGCCAGCCGCCGCGGUAAUACGGAGGGUGCGAGCGUUAAUCGGAAUUACUGGGCGUAAAGCGCACGCAGGCGGUUUGUUAAGCUAGAUGUGAAAGCCCCGGGCUUAACCUGGGAAUUGCAUUCGAUACUGCGUGGCUAGAGUAUGGUAGAGGAAAGCGGAAUUCCGGGUGUAGCGGUGAAAUGCGUAGAUAUCCGGAGGAACAUCAGUGGCGAAGGCGGCUUUCUGGACCGAUACUGACGCUGAGACGCGAAAGCGUGGGGAGCAAACAGGAUUAGAUA
RNAcentral lists this ribosomal RNA (279 nucleotides) under uncultured bacterium. RNAcentral's name for it is "partial 16S ribosomal RNA". It matches the Rfam family "Bacterial small subunit ribosomal RNA", at positions 506 to 784 of the family's 1533-position model. The record is from RNAcentral.